RNAcentral lists this ribosomal RNA (253 nucleotides) under uncultured bacterium. RNAcentral describes it as "partial 16S ribosomal RNA". It matches the Rfam family "Bacterial small subunit ribosomal RNA", at positions 524 to 776 of the family's 1533-position model. The record is from RNAcentral.
UACGUAUGGUGCAAGCGUUAUCCGGAUUUACUGGGUGUAAAGGGAGCGCAGGCGGCGCGUUAAGCCUGGUGUGAAAGCCCGCGGCCCAACCGCGGGACUGCAUUGGGAACUGGCGCGCUGGAGUGCCGGAGGGGUAGGCGGAAUUCCUAGUGUAGCGGUGAAAUGCGUAGAUAUUAGGAGGAACACCAGUGGCGAAGGCGGCUUACUGGACGGCAACUGACGCUGAGGCUCGAAAGCGUGGGGAGCAAACAGG